AGUGAACGCUGGCGGUAGGCCUAACACAUGCAAGUCGAACGGCAGCACAGUAAGAGCUUGCUCUUACGGGUGGCGAGUGGCGGACGGGUGAGGAAUACAUCGGAAUCUACUUUUUCGCGGGGGAUAACGUAGGGAAACUUACGCUAAUACCGCAUACGACCUACGGGUGAAAGCAGGGGAUCUUCGGACCUUGCGCGAUUGAAUGAGCCGAUGUCGGAUUAGCUAGUUGGCGGGGUAAAGGCCCACCAAGGCGACGAUCCGUAGCUGGUCUGAGAGGAUGAUCAGCCACACUGGAAAUGAGACACGGUCAAGACGCCUACGGGAGGCAGCAGUGGGGAAUAUUGGACAAUGGGCGCAAGCCUGAUCCAGCCAUACCGCGUGGGUGAAGAAGGCCUUAGGGUUGUAAAGACCUUUUGUUGGGAAAGAAAAGCAGCAGGUUAAUACCCCGCUGUUCUGACGGUACCCAAAGAAUAAGCACCGGCUAACUUCGUG
This 492-nucleotide ribosomal RNA is filed under the name uncultured bacterium. RNAcentral describes it as "partial 16S ribosomal RNA". It matches the Rfam family "Bacterial small subunit ribosomal RNA", at positions 29 to 507 of the family's 1533-position model. The record is from RNAcentral.